GAUGAACGCUGGUGGCGUGCCUAAUACAUGCAAGUCGAGCGAACAGACGAGGAGCUUGCUCCUCUGACGUUAGCGGCGGACGGGUGAGUAACACGUGGAUAACCUACCUAUAAGACUGGGAUAACUUCGGGAAACCGGAGCUAAUACCGGAUAAUAUAUUGAACCGCAUGGUUCAAUAGUGAAAGACGGUUUUGCUGUCACUUAUAGAUGGAUCCGCGCCGCAUUAGCUAGUUGGUAAGGUAACGGCUUACCAAGGCAACGAUGCGUAGCCGACCUGAGAGGGUGAUCGGCCACACUGGAACUGAGACACGGUCCAGACUCCUACGGGAGGCAGCAGUAGGGAAUCUUCCGCAAAGGGCGAAAGCCUGACGGAGCAACGCCGCGUGAAUGAUGAAGGUCUUCGGAUCGUAAAACUCUGUUAUUAGGGAAGAACAAAUGUGUAAGUAACUAUGCACGUCUUGACGGUACCUAAUCAGAAAGCCACGGCUAGCUACGUG
Molecule: ribosomal RNA, 497 nt
Filed under: uncultured bacterium
Lineage: Bacteria
Description: partial 16S ribosomal RNA
Rfam family: Bacterial small subunit ribosomal RNA
Source: RNAcentral